GAGGGGGUGCCGGAGUGGCCAAACGGGACAGACUCAAGAUCUGUUGGCUUAGUGCCUACCAGGGUUCAAAUCCCUGCCCCCUCA
This 84-nucleotide transfer RNA is filed under the name Nanobdellota archaeon. Its description in RNAcentral is "tRNA-Leu". It matches the Rfam family "tRNA". From Rfam's summary of the family: Transfer RNA (tRNA) molecules are approximately 80 nucleotides in length. Their secondary structure includes four short double-helical elements and three loops (D, anti-codon, and T loops). RNAcentral also lists the same sequence under 2 other names. The record is from RNAcentral. Lineage: Archaea; Nanobdellati; Nanobdellota.